Molecule: long non-coding RNA, 1774 nt
Organism: Piliocolobus tephrosceles (Ugandan red Colobus)
Lineage: Eukaryota; Metazoa; Chordata; Mammalia; Primates; Cercopithecidae
Source: Ensembl
UAUGUUACUACAUAUGAAACAGUAAAAAAUGAAGAAGAAUUUUUUGUGGAAACUAUACCCAAAUGGCAAUGUAUUAUAUUGGAUGAAGCACAUCGAAUAAAAAAUCAAGGAGGUGCAGUAAGACAUUCUAUGGAUCGAGUAGUUGGAAAUAUGCGAUUAUUAUUAACUGGUACACCAUUACAAAAUAAUUCAGCAGAAUUAUUUACUUUAAUAAAUUUUAUGUUUCCUGAUAUUUUUAAAAAUUCAGAAAUAAUAGAACAAGCAUUUAUGCAAGCUUCUUCUGUUGGACCUAAUGCAGGAUCAUCCUCUAAUGUUGUUGUUGGUAGUGGUAGGGGUAGUAAAGAUGAUAAUACUCGUACAACUGGUACAAAUAGUAUGAUUAAUGGUACAAUAAAUUCUAGUAAUAAUAGUGGUAAUUCAAAACUUAAUGUAAAUAUAGGGAAUAUUGAUUUAAAAUCGUCAAUUAAGGAAGAAGAUUUAAAAGCUAUUCGUUGUUUAUUAGAUAAAGUUAUGUUAAGAAGAUUAAAAGAACAAGCUAUUACUUUACCUAAAAAAAUAUUUCAUGAUGUUUGGUUACCAUUAGGUUCAUUAUCUGCUCAUUGGUAUAAACGAUUAUUAGAUAUAAGAUCUAUGGUAGAAGAAAAAGUUAGUGUAAAAAAAUUGUUAGGUUUGGUUAUAAAAAUGAGAAUUAUUUGUGGACAUCCUAAAGGUAUUGUUAGUAGACCAUCUCAAAUGGAAAAAUUGUUUGCAUUUUUUGAAGAAGAAAGUGAAGAAAUAAAAGAACAAGUUAAAAAUGAUGCUAUGAAAUUAAGAAAUAUAUCAGGAAAAGAACAUAUAGAAUCAUCUUCUAAAUUAAUUUUUAUUGAUAAAUUAUUAUGUCAGUUACAUUAUGAGAAUUGUAAAUAUGUAAAAAAUUAUGCAGCUUCUUACGAUAAACAUAAAAAAGAAGUAGCAGCUUAUAACUAUUAUAAAAUACAAGAACAAAAUAAUGCUAAUAAAAAAAAAAAAGAACAUAAAAAAAAAAAAAAAAAAAAAAAGAAUCAAGACAAAUCAUCAGAUGAGGAUGAAGAGGAAGAAGAAGAAGAUGUAACAUUUGGGUUUGAUAAAUAUUUUGCAAAUACUAUGGGAAAAAAUGAAAAGAAACAAAAUAUUGAUUAUAAAAAAAAAGGUAACAAACGUGUUAUGUUAGAAUCGGAUGAGGAAGAUAGUGGUGCUGGGUAUAGUGGUGCUGGGUAUAGUGGUGCUGGGUAUAGUGGUGUUGGGUAUAGUGGUGCUGGGUAUAGUGGUGUUGGGUAUAGUGAUGAUGGAGAUGCUGAUACGGAUGGUACAACUGGAAAAAGUAACAACGAUAAAACGAAACGAAAAGGAAAGGAUAAAAAUGUAAUAACAUUAAGUAAUAAUUGUAAAAUGAUGAAUAUAAAACAUUUUUUUAAAACUGAUAAAAAAGAGAAUGCUACUUCUGGUAGUAGUGUUAGUACAGAGAAAAUUGAAAAAGUUGGAACGGAUAUGGAAAAAGAAGAAAAGGGAGGAAAUAAUACGAAUUGUACAGUUGUUAGUGAUAUUGUAAAUAAAAAUGAUAAUACUACUACUGAUAGUGAUAAUAACAAAAACAAACUGAAUGGUGAUGGUGGUAUUUCUACGAAUGAAACAAUAAAUAGUGAUCAACAAUUUACUAGUAGUAAGAAUAUAUCUAAUGACAAGGUGGAAAAGGUGGAAAAAUUGGAAAAUAUGGAAAAAUUGGAAAAUAUGGAAAAAGUGGAAAAAGUGGAAAAAU